AGUGAACGCUGGCGGUAGGCCUAACACAUGCAAGUCGAACGGCAGCACAGUAAGAGCUUGCUCUUACGGGUGGCGAGUGGCGGACGGGUGAGGAAUAAAUCGGAAUCUACUUUUUCGUGGGGGAUAACGUAGGGAAACUUACGCUAAUACCGCAUACGACCUACGGGUGAAAGCAGGGGAUCUUCGGACCUUGCGCGAUUGAAUGAGCCGAUGUCGGAUUAGCUAGUUGGCGGGGUAAAGGCCCACCAAGGCGACGAUCCGUAGCUGGUCUGAGAGGAUGAUCAGCCACACUGGAACUGAGACACGGUCCAGACUCCUACGGGAGGCAGCAGUGGGGAAUUUUGGACAAUGGGCGCAAGCCUGAUCCAGCCAUACCGCGUGGGGGAAGAAGGCCUUCGGGUUGUAAAGCCCUUUUGUUGGGAAAGAAAAGCAGCAGGUUAAUACCCCGCUGUUCUGACGGUACCCAAAGAAUAAGCACCGGCUAACUUCGUG
RNAcentral lists this ribosomal RNA (492 nucleotides) under uncultured bacterium. Its description in RNAcentral is "partial 16S ribosomal RNA". It matches the Rfam family "Bacterial small subunit ribosomal RNA", at positions 29 to 507 of the family's 1533-position model. The record is from RNAcentral.